GACGAGUCUCACGAACGUUAUUCGGAAUUACUGGGCUUAAAGGGUGCGUAGGCGGUGAAGUAAGUCGGGUGUGAAAUACCAUAGCUUAACUAUGAACUGCACUCGAUACUACUUUGCUAGAGUAAGACAGAGGUGAGUGGAACUGAGGGUGGAGCGGUGAAAUGCGUUGAUAUCCUCAGGAACUCCGGUGGCGAAGGCGGCCUGCUGGACCCCAUCUGACGCUGAGGCGCGAAAGCCAGGGGAGCGAACGGGG
Molecule: ribosomal RNA, 253 nt
Filed under: uncultured bacterium
Lineage: Bacteria
Description: partial 16S ribosomal RNA
Rfam family: Bacterial small subunit ribosomal RNA
Source: RNAcentral